Molecule: long non-coding RNA, 740 nt
Organism: Sebastes umbrosus (honeycomb rockfish)
Lineage: Eukaryota; Metazoa; Chordata; Actinopteri; Perciformes; Sebastidae
Exons: 7
Source: RefSeq, a predicted model, not a curated record
AAGAAACACACCGCCUGUGAGCUCCAAAAACAAGCGUGAAGAAGCAGCAGCAGCAAGCAAUGGCUUCAUGUGACUGCAUCGAAAUGGCUUCUGGGUUCAACCCUUUUGCUGACCGACAAUAACCGUGUACCUUGUGUCUGUGUCUGCUACCAGGAGAGAGACUCAGCUCCUGUGGACAGAGACAAACUGAAGACAAAGACCUGGGGUUUGUCGUCAGAGCAACAGGGAGAGGUGGGAGGGAAGCUCUCGCAGGUAUUCAGGGGCGUGAUGAACAGGACCUAUAUAAAAAGGAGACAGAGAGAGACACACAGCAGACACAUCAGCCACCGAGAGCUGAAACAUCCCAGAGGGUUUCAUCACCGACCUCCAUCUGCAGAGCUACAUCUCCCUGCUGCUCCACCCGACCUCCAGACGCUCUCUGACAGUUUACUGAAGGGGCUCCAUCAUGAAGCAAGGUGCAUUGCUCCUCCUGCUGGCAGUUGCUGCCAGCCAGGUUGACCUCAAUCUGUCUGACCCACAAAACAUUGUUACUGGACAUGUGAACAUCAGCACGUGUCCCAUCACCUUCUAUGGACGCACAUACUCAAUGCUGGAUCUGUUGAUCCAAGAUUCAGUUCUUUCAGUUUGUUUCAAAAAUGACGCAGCUGAAAACGCAACAGCCUGUCUUUCCGUGGGUGAUAACGGCAAUGCAACCAAAGUUGGUUGGGGGAUAAAAACUACCUCUACGGACAGGUCAGAUA